UGGAUGGAUGGAUGGAUGGAUAGAUGGAUGGAUGGAUGGAUGGAUGGAUGGAUGGAUGGAUGGAUGGCACAUUGUUAAGAUCAUGAAGCACAAGAUUCGUUUUUCCUGAAGAAAAUUAACUUGAGCUUCACGUGUUGCAAGCCGCGUUUUCAACAAGUCGCAUCAAAACAGACAGCGAACAUCAGUGACGUAUAAAAACAUCAUCAGCAUCAGCAAGCAGCGAAUUUAAUGCAAAAAGUAAAAUGAUGUGUCAGAUAACUCCUGAUGAAACAAAACAUCUGUCAAGGAAACAGAUGAGACUGACGGCAUCUGUUGGUUGUUAUUCACCUGUAAAUUUAUGUAUUUAUUUUUUUAAUUUAGAGCCAGUGUUCAUUACAAGUUUAAUCUCAGCAUGACUUUGAAUCGAUAGAAAACCAAUGAAUCAAUGAAGUCUCAUGGUGCAACAGAAUGUGGAUCAGUGCGUAUUGCAGUCGAAAGGUUGUGGGCUUGAUUCCACAUACAGUCACACGCCAAUAUGCAGCCCAUCAGUGUUUUGGUGCAAGAAUUUGUUAGUGGAAUUGGGUGAAUGUGACUGUAAAGUGCUUUGAAUGGUCAGAAUGACGAGAAAAGCUCUACACAAAUUGAGUUUUUCCACUUUUCUCUUUCCUUUCCUCUCAUCACAGUGACCUCAACUCGUCAGCUUCAGUAUCUUGAUAACUAAGAACUCAUGGCACCUACAAUUUUAUACAGAAAAACUGCUGGAUCCAUGUAGUCUUCCGUGAUUGUGUUAAAAACAGAACAUAAAUGGGAGAACAAACUUAAUCUUUACUUUACGACACGAAACUAAGAUAAUAUUUUUACUUGCAUUUUAAUAUGAAUCUCAUAGGUUGAUAUAACAUCAUUACACAUUUUAUGUUUUACACUGAGUUUCUCAGUUCUAGAGGAAAUAAAUCCAUACACUACAUAUUUUUCAACGCUGCAGCCCCAUCAACAAAUCUAUAUUUACAUUUCAGUUUCUUAUUAUCUUUUCUGUUUUCCUCUUCCGCCUUUUAGCCAGCACCAAUCUGCUCUUUCGUUUCUACACGCCACUCAAAUCCUGCAAGCUAUUUCUGUAAUUAUUUGUCGAGCAGCUUCCUCCUGAUUUGAUUAAACUCCGACAGUUUUUAUGCUCCAGUUGGAGGGAGCGUUUCCCUCUUGUUCAAUCCCGGCUAAGGAGGAGAAACUACAGGCAUCAAAUCAUGUUAAAUCGUGUCAGAGCGCUGACUUAUGGGAGUCAAACGCUGAGCGAUCGGCCGGCUGGCCUAAAUCCGACUCCCGCUGCCGUGACGGGCGAAA
Long non-coding RNA from Poecilia latipinna (sailfin molly), 1314 nucleotides. RefSeq lists it as uncharacterized. NCBI's taxonomy places the organism in Eukaryota, Metazoa, Chordata, Actinopteri, Cyprinodontiformes, Poeciliidae. The record is from RefSeq and is a predicted model, not a curated record. The transcript is spliced from 2 exons.